This 468-nucleotide ribosomal RNA is filed under the name uncultured bacterium. RNAcentral's name for it is "partial 16S ribosomal RNA". It matches the Rfam family "Bacterial small subunit ribosomal RNA", at positions 28 to 507 of the family's 1533-position model. The record is from RNAcentral.
GACGAACGCUGGCGGCGUGCUUAACACAUGCAAGUCGAACGGAAAGGCCCUGCUUUUGUGGGGUGCUCGAGUGGCGAAAGGGUGAGUAAAAAGUGAGUAACCUGCCAUUGAAUUUGGGAUAAAUUCAGGAAAGUGGGGAUAAUAAGGGAUAGGAGAUAGUGCUGCAUGGUGGGGGUUGGAAAGGUUCGGGGGUUGGGGAGGGACGCGCGGAGGAUCAGCUUGUUGGUGGGGUAGUGGCUUACCAAGGCUUUGACGGGUAGCCGGCCUGAGAGGGUGACCGGCCACAUUCUCACUGAGAUACCGCCCAGACUCCUCCUCUAGACAUCAUUUCUCAAUAUUGCACCCUGGUCUGCAGCCUGCUGCCGCACCUCCUCCUUCGAUAUGACGGCCUUCGGGUUGUACACCUCUUUCGCCUUUGACGAAGCGUUAUUGACAAUAAUUUGUAAAGAAGCACCGGCUAACUACCUG